AUAGUGGGGAAGCCCAGCACUUACAAAUCGGAAAAGCAGCUGGAUAUACACAGGACCACUCAACACCAAGAUAGGAGGCUGUCACCAAGUAACCAACUGUAAAGAAAGUCACUCUUUGUAAACAGGCUGUGAAAUCACAGACUCCUGAGUAGAUAAGACUUUCCACCCAGCUGCGCUGGGAGCAUGCCACGAGCACGCCCAGAACCAUGGGGCAUAGAUUGAUGCUCAUUAUGGGCACUAAUGGAAGGUGAUUCAAUGCAAGCUAGCGAGUGAGUUCCCUUGUCUCUAAAGUCGUGUGUAGGAGUGAGCAGGAUGCCAUAUGAAAGCAAAUUGACUCACAAGGCACUGAAUUGCAGCUAAACAUUUGUUUAGAUGUUCCUCAUUGUUCUCCAUCUCCCCAAACUCUGGAAAACACCAUUUCUACAGGUUACAGAGUAGCUCAAUUUGAUUCUGUCAACCAACACAGGGAAGAAACAAAGGAUUGCUCAUCCCCAGCAGUCCCAGCUGCUGGGAGACCGAGCCCAUGAUCUCUGGCUUAUCCUCACUCCUGGUCUCUGGAGACCCCCAAGAAGUAGCUACACCAACAGCAGCUUGAUACAUCAUCUUGGAAAAUGGGCCAUUGCAGGAGUUGGAGUAUCAGCAGGAAAAAAUGGUGCAAGAUCAAGCAAGAAAGAGAUCAAGAGACCUCUGACAACGACUAAAGUCUUUCAGUGACAAAAAAUGGGGCGACAACUUCCAUUUCACAUUGUAUUUCUCUUGUCAGCUUGUCGGAGACCAAAAAUUUAUUACCUCACUCACUUUUAGCAAAAUGCGUUCCUGCUGAUUUUUAUGACUAAAGAGAAAGAGAAGAGUAAAGGUUGGGUAGAAAUGCUGAAGGGAAGGAUAUGGACUGGAAUACCUAAUCUCAUAAAGUAAGAUACUUUGGCAAGGACUGCUCAGGACAAUAACUCUAUGCCAGAGAUGGACUGAAAUCAGCUCACUUCAUCCUCCUGCCUCAUCUCUCUCUCCUCCAAUUCACCCUCCAUUCAGCCACUAAAGAGAUUUUCCUAAAGCUCUGGUCUAGUCAUGUCACCAACCUUAUCCAGUAAACUCCAGUGACUUCCUAUCAUUUCUAAGAUCAAAUACAAAAUCUUCUGCUUGGUGUUCAAAAUCCUUCCUAAUCUAGCCCCCUCCUACCUUUCCAUCUUCGUACAACAUGUCCUUUUUGAUCCAGUGACACCAACAUCCAGUGUGUACCACGAACAAGACACUCCAUCUCUCAACUCCAAGCAUUUUCACCUGGAAUAUACCUGGAAUGUUCUCUCUCUUCAAUUCUGCCCAUUGACCUCCCCUGGCUUCUUUUAAGUCCCAACUAAACUCCCAGCUUUUACCAGAA
RNAcentral lists this long non-coding RNA (1375 nucleotides) under Monodelphis domestica (gray short-tailed opossum). Its description in RNAcentral is "lncRNA (ENSMODG00000035815.2)". The record is from RNAcentral. Lineage: Eukaryota; Metazoa; Chordata; Mammalia; Didelphimorphia; Didelphidae.